GUCAUUCCGGGUUUUAUUCACUUGCCUCUCUUCUUCCUCUUUCGUUGCUUCUGUAGUUCAAGGAAAGAGAUUCGUGAAGCCAUCGAAGGUUACAAAGGAUAUACAUACUGAUCGUGGUGUCUGUGGCUUAGUGGUAUUUCGCGUUCAAUCGCUUACAAUUGGUCUCGACCCAACAUGAAAAUCGGUGUUAGGAUCAUUCACGCAAGUUCGUCUUACCGGAACGUCUGUUUCUCGCAAAGGCUAUCAAUGAAGAAGCAUCCAACAGGAAAGUUUUUUCCCUUUUUACUGUUAUGCAUGUUUGUUUCAUUGAUAUUUGCUUCUAUUUGGAAGGUUUUAAUUUUAUUUGUUGUUAUGCAUGUUUUCUUCUUAAUAAUAGUUAUUUUUCCUUACUGAUUUUUCAAUUUUGUUUUUGGUUCCUUUUUAUUUUGUCGGGCUAUCGACGAAGAAGCAUCCAGCAGGCAUGUUUUUUCCUCUUUUGCUCUUAUGCAUGUUUGUUUCAUUACUAUUUAUUUUUAUUUGCAAGGUUCUAAUUUUGUUUGUUGUUAUGCAUGUUUUCUUCUUAAUAAUAGUUAUUUUUUCUUACUGAUUUUUCAACUCUGUUUUUGGUUCCCUUUUUAUUUUCCCGGGCUAAUUUUUUCGUCAUCUUCCCCAUAUGGGUUGUAAGUUAUGUGUUUGAUGAAAUGUCUAAAUGAAGUUUUAGUUUUUAAUCUUAAAAAUUCAUGUGCAUAUUGGUUGGAAGCACGAGAACAAAAUUGCCAGUUGUGGAAGUGACAUUACAUUAUCAAUAAUGACAUUAUAUAUACACUCUAAUUUAUUCAAUAUUGAUUAAUUUGUGUACUUUCUUUUUGUUGAUUGAAAACCCUACUCUAAACUUUGUUCCUGUGGCAUUUGUUUUUACUAUGGUGUGCAGUGGUCGAAAGAGGCAUGGAUUCUGCGUCAAGAUGUUUGUGCUGGGUGUUGCAGUUUUGGUAUCGCAGGGAAUGAUCCCAAAGUAAUAAUUUCCCCUCUCUUUUUAUUUUAUUUUUGUGGUUGAGUCACGGGAUUCUUCUCCUGUUAAAGUUGUUCAUAUUCAAAAUAGGAAGCAAAUUAGGUGACUGAUGAAAUUUCCAAAAUAGGUACUUGCAUACACAGGAAAUAGGUACUUCCAUGAGGGUCACAAAUGAUUAAAGUUCAAUUUCAUUAUUUAAUCUCUUAUUCUCUUUCAGGUAUUAUACUAUACAAUAGUGUUUUUUUUAAAAUAGGUUUUCUUUUGCAUUAUUCGACUGCUUAUUUGUAAUAACCAUGAUCAAUAAUCAACAAGGAGAUUCACCAGCAUAGAUACAGAUUUAAAUGUCUUGAAGAAGAGGAUAGAGACAGUGCAUUUGUAAUAACCUUAAGUUCUUUUGAUAAAAUUUAUGUUCAAAAACCUUGGAGGGUUACUGGUGUUCUUUUUCCUGUUACUUUAUUCUUUGAAAUUAAUGUUACUAUUAUUCAAUAUUUGAUGCUUGCCCUUAUACUGCAAAAUUUGUGUGUAACUACAACACAUCAGCCUAUUAAAGAGAUAUUAGAAAAGGAAAAAAAGGUAUGUCUCUUUUUUAUGUUAGUGUUAUGCUUGGUAUCUAUGGGUUUGUCAUUGCUUUUGAUGGUAAGUUACCGUUGGGUUGCAUGCAUAAAUCUUUCCAUAAAGUCUACAUGCUAUUUGCAUGUGUUACUUUCUUCCACGAGCCUGUUGGUAGAGCUUCUGAUGGUCGACUUAUCAUAGAUUUCAUUGGUAAACCUUUUCAUUCUCAUCAUUAUGCUUUAUUUCUUAUUCAUUAAUUUGUGUCACACAAUUGUUCAAUAGCAUGCUUGAUUUUCUAUUUACUUUGCUUUCUUUUUCUUCUAUCAUUAUGUGGUGUCUCAUAACACAAGCUAAUUAAUCUUCUUUUGUUUGAGUUUUGUCAUGCAGAGAUUGGAUUCCAGUUUGUGUUGUUAUUGACCGACACAAGCAUCUCUUUCCACAUGAAUAAAGCUGGGAUUCAAUAAGAAUGAAUCGUGAAGAUUAAUUUUCCCAGCAUCUUGGUUUUCCAUUCUUCAGUGCAUACAUAAACUCAAUUGGAACAAGUUGCAGGCAUGGAGCAAACUUAAUUUGCUGCAGGAUCAUCAACCAUUAGGCGCCAAAAAAGGAUAGUCUUUGAGGGUGGCACUCCUUUCACUUUUGAAAUACAGGUUGCACAGUUCAACCAGUUUAAGGCACGCAUCGGAAAGUUCUUCAAGCAAGAAGGGAGAAACUCCUUCAGAGAACACUUUCCUAGGCUAGAGGACUUUGCCAAGGCUAUCUACAUAUUUGAUAUUGGAAAAAAUGAUAUUGUUGCUGCUAUUAACAGAGUGGGCCAGGAAGAUUCUCACGCAGUCAUCUCAGACAUUGUGGAUUAUUUUGAAAACCAAAUCCAAGUAAAAACACCACACCAGUUUUUGGGUCUGCCACAGGGAGCAUGGUUUCAAGAUGGUGGGUUCGAGAUUUCUGUGUUAGAUUUGGGUCUACAAAUUAGCAAAAACUCCACACCUGUAGAUUUAAAUACUAAGUUUAGAUUUGGUGUUCUACCUACGAUACUUAAUGAAUUAUAAUUAAAUUGAAAACCCAUAUUUUGGUAAA
This is a long non-coding RNA of Glycine soja, 2614 nucleotides long. RefSeq lists it as uncharacterized. The transcript has 6 exons. Lineage: Eukaryota; Viridiplantae; Streptophyta; Magnoliopsida; Fabales; Fabaceae. The record is from RefSeq and is a predicted model, not a curated record.